CGAACGCUGGCGGCGUGCUUAACACAUGCAAGUCGAACGAUGAACCGGGGCUUGCCCUGGGGAUUAGUGGCGAACGGGUGAGUAACACGUGGGCAACCUGCCCCUGACUCUGGGAUAACUCCGGGAAACCGGGGCUAAUACCGGAUACGAACCUCGACGGCAUCGUCGAGGUUGGAAAGUUUUUCGGUCAGGGAUGGGCCCGCGGCCUAUCAGCUAGUUGGUGGGGUAGUGGCCCACCAAGGCGACGACGGGUAGCCGGCCUGAGAGGGCGACCGGCCACACUGGGACUGAGACACGGCCCAGACUCCUACGGGAGGCAGCAGUGGGGAAUAUUGCGCAAUGGGCGAAAGCCUGACGCAGCGACGCCGCGUGAGGGACGACGGCCUCGGUUGUAACCGUCUUUCAGCAGGACGAAGCGAAAGUGACGGUACCUGCAGAAGAAGCACCGGCCAACUACGUGCCAGCAGCCGCGGUAAUCU
This 479-nucleotide ribosomal RNA is filed under the name uncultured bacterium. Its description in RNAcentral is "bacterial SSU rRNA". It matches the Rfam family "Bacterial small subunit ribosomal RNA", at positions 30 to 526 of the family's 1533-position model. The record is from RNAcentral.